RNAcentral lists this ribosomal RNA (253 nucleotides) under uncultured bacterium. RNAcentral describes it as "partial 16S ribosomal RNA". It matches the Rfam family "Bacterial small subunit ribosomal RNA", at positions 524 to 776 of the family's 1533-position model. The record is from RNAcentral.
GACGAACCGUGCGAACGUUGUCCGGAGUCACUGGGCGUAAAGCGCGCGCAGGCGGCAACCUAAGUGUCGUGUGAAAGCCCCCGGCUCAACCGGGGGAGGCCAUGGCAAACUGGGUCGCUCGAGCUGCGGAGAGGCCCCUCGAAUUGCCGGUGUAGCGGUGAAAUGCGUAGAGAUCGGCAGGAAGACCAAGGGGGAAGCCAGGGGGCUGGCCGCAUGCUGACGCUGAGGCGCGACAGCGUGGGGAGCAAACCGG